Long non-coding RNA from Diorhabda sublineata, 310 nucleotides. RefSeq lists it as uncharacterized. NCBI's taxonomy places the organism in Eukaryota, Metazoa, Arthropoda, Insecta, Coleoptera, Chrysomelidae. The transcript has 3 exons. The record is from RefSeq and is a predicted model, not a curated record.
CUUGACAGAGACGGAGAUGUCUAAUAGUGUAAAGUAAAGGAAAAAACUGUGAAGGUAUUACGAGGUACUGAUAUUUGAAUUAAAAAUUGUGAAACGGUUUUAUUGAAAUUGGCCCUGAUAUAGGAGCUACUCCUCUGCAGGGCUGUGAAAUUUGUCUGGGGUUGUGUUUGAUGUCCUGGCUGGAAAGAGAACGAGAACUCUAUUCUGUUGAGGCAGAAUGGGCUCCUGUCCAAGUGGAAAGUGGAGUAGCCAGUGAAUUUUGGAGGGGUGUCUGUGAUGACGAUUUCUGACUAAACCUUGGCAAUUAACG